UUUCCGUAGGUGAACCUGCGGAAGGAUCAUUGAAGAAAAGAUCUUUGUGUGGGAGAAGGGAGGGAGAGAAGAAGAUGAUUUUUCUCGAACCUCUUUCUUUCAUACGACUAACCCCACAUGUGAACAACUGGUUUCAUGCUGUGCAGAGAAAGGGGAUGUUGGGAGUGGGGGAAAAAGGGUUACUUUUUCCUUUAAUACCAUUACACUUUUCUGUGUAGCCAUGAACAAACAACAAAUCCCUUUGUUUUUUGUUUAUUGUUAUAGUGACACAUGUUACUAGAAAAAGAAGACCUUCAUUUAUAAACAUAACAACUUUUAACAAUGGAUCUCUUGGCUCUC
Molecule: unclassified non-coding RNA, 339 nt
Filed under: plant metagenome
Description: partial contains small subunit ribosomal RNA, internal transcribed spacer 1, and 5.8S ribosomal RNA
Source: RNAcentral